Molecule: ribosomal RNA, 884 nt
Filed under: uncultured bacterium
Lineage: Bacteria
Description: bacterial SSU rRNA
Rfam family: Bacterial small subunit ribosomal RNA
Source: RNAcentral
UNGGAAUCACUGGGCGUAAAGGACGCGUAGGCGGAUUAUCAAGUCUCUUGUGAAAUCUAACGGCUUAACCGUUAAACUGCUUGAGAAACUGAUAAUCUAGAGUAAGGGAGAGGCAGAUGGAAUUCUUGGUGUAGGGGUAAAAUCCGUAGAGAUCAAGAAGAAUACCCAUUGCGAAAGCGAUCUGCUGGAACUUAACUGACGCUAAUGCGUGAAAGCGUGGGGAGCAAACAGGAUUAGAUACCCUGGUAGUCCACGCCCUAAACGAUGUAUACUAGUUGUUGCUUCGCUAGUCGAGGCAGUAAUGCACCUAACGGAUUAAGUAUACCGCCUGGGGAGUACGGUCGCAAGAUUAAAACUCAAAGGAAUAGACGGGGACCCGCACAAGCGGUGGAGCAUGUGGUUUAAUUCGAAGAUACGCGAAGAACCUUACCCGGACUUGAUAUCUAACAAAUCAUCCAGAGAUGGAAGAGUGUCUGCUUGCAGAAAUGUUAAGACAGGUGCUGCACGGCUGUCGUCAGCUCGUGUCGUGAGAUGUUGGGUUAAGUCCCGCAACGAGCGCAACCCACGUCAUUAGUUGCUAACGGUUCGGCCGAGCACUCUAAUGAGACUGCCUUCGCAAGGAGGAGGAAGGUGUGGACGACGUCAAGUCAUCAUGGCCCUUAUGUCCGGGGCGACACACGUGCUACAAUGGCGUAUACAAUGAGACGCAAUAUCGCGAGAUGGAGCAAAUCUAUAAAAUACGUCCCAGUUCGGAUUGGAGUCUGCAACUCGACUCCAUGAAGCCGGAAUCGCUAGUAAUCGUAGAUCAGCCAUGCUACGGUGAAUACGUUCCCGGGUCUUGUACUCACCGCCCGUCACACCAUGGGAGUUGGUUUCACUNGAAG